Unclassified non-coding RNA from Rhipicephalus microplus (southern cattle tick), 1945 nucleotides. The record is from RefSeq and is a predicted model, not a curated record. NCBI's taxonomy places the organism in Eukaryota, Metazoa, Arthropoda, Arachnida, Ixodida, Ixodidae.
AAAAAAAUAUUUUGCAAGGAGCACUGGGCUUGCCACCAGUGAACACCAUGGGCAACGAGGGUCCCCUCCCUUACUUCUUCGUCGGAGACGAGGCCUUCCCGUUGAAGGAGUACGUAAUGCGGCCAUACGCAAGACGGACACUGCAUGAAGACGACGACAAGUCCUACGAGCGUCGCGUCUUCAAUUAUAGGAUGUCCAGGGCACGCCGCACUAUUAAGAAUACCUUUGGCAUUCUGGCACAAAGGUGGAGGGUGCUGUGCCGACCCAUUAAGGCGAAAGAAGUCAAUAUGAAGGCAUACAUCGGAGCAUGCAUAGUGCUACAUACCUUUCUCCUUAAGGAGUCCACAGCAUCCUCCACUGUCCUAUUGCCCCCCUGGUGCCACAGACAGCGAGGACUGGGAAGGACAUCUUUCACCUGAAAGCUGGAGGGACGAGGAAGCAGCCGGCGGAGCGCUCAUACCAUCAAGGCCUACCGGCUGCAAUGCUGCGCGAUGUCGACACCAGUCUCCUCAGCCGUAUCAGAGGUACGUUCAGGUUCCGCUGCAUGGCUUGGCCGAGGCGGUGAACUGCAGUGAUGAAAACUUCUCUCUGUGUAUUUGAUGGUGCCACUAGUAUAUGAACUGUUUUAGGCAUUCUUUGGGAGUUAAAAUGACAAUAUGAUUGCACUCAACACGAGGUUUAAUCAUCAUAAGAAGUCGCUUGCGUUCUUGAUUAAGCACUGCUGUAUAGAAGGUGUGCAUACAGAAGUUUAAUGUGCCUAUUAUGUUAAUAAAAUGCUAUGUAGGCUGCACAUCGAAAUGAGAACAAGAGAUAUCUCACUGGCUAUGUGAAUGAAAUUUAUACAGUCAAUCUUAAAUGGCUGUGCAACGAUGUGUCUGAUGAAACUGCGUGUGCUGUCAUUAUGCUUCUUGAACACAUAUUGCUUACAACUUUCGCAGCAUCAUUUUGCUGCUACAAAUGAGUGAAUGGUUCACAUUAUUCAGCUCACUUGUAUAGCAAUCAGUGCUGGGCACUUGUUCAUAACGAAAUGACAUGAAUGUGUUGCCAGUGUGUGUAGAUAAUGCAUUAGUUUGCUUAAUUGCAGCCUGUCACUGAUUAAUACUUUGCUUUUUCAGAAAUAUUUAACGUUGCACAAUAACCACAUUCACACAGAAACAAUGCCUGUGCCCUCAUGUAUUCUUGUCUGCUUCUGUUCAGUGUUGAGUGCUGAAUGUAUUUUAAAAAAUGCAGUGGUUAGGGCAAGCUAAUGAAUUGAACACCAUUUUUCAAACAUGCUUGCGUUUUUCAUAAUUUUGCAAAGUACAAUCAUCUAGCAAUAAAAAGUAAUGUUUCUAGGUCCAAAUCCAUGCGUGUAGAACUUCAAGCGCAUGCACAUGAUACCGAACAUUUUUGUGCAUGCUCACCUCUCGUUAGCCUCAUCUGCUAUUAUGUGGCUGCUGCAAGAGAACAUGCAAUAUGCGAUUAUAUCAGUGCUAUUGUGUACAUCUUUAGAGCAUUUUUACUGUUUUGUUACAAUAUACAUACUCAAGCUGCAUUCUUGUAAUGAAUAUGUGUAAUGCUUGCCUAUGAACAGCCUCAUGACACAUGCAAUAAGCGAUCUCUCCAGAUAUUUAGAUUUUAUAUUAAGCCUUCUUUCUUUCGGUAACUGAGAACUGUGAAUGACACAGAAGUACACUCAAUUCUCUCAUUCUUGGUGUUCGAAGUUCUGUUUUGUGAAGCUGUCCACAUGCCAGUUGUACGGUAUGCUAUAUUUUUGUGUUGUUUUGAUGCAUUGUGCUAUGCUAACCAAAAGAUUUCAUUUUUUGUUCAAUGAAGGGUAAGCAUCAUUCAUUACCUUUGGUCAAUGGCACUCAUGUUGCACAGUACCCUGAAAGAAUGAUGCACAGAGUUAUUCUUCAUAGCUGUAUCCGCAAUUAUUCGACAUUAAAACAGCCCAUUGCCACUA